Molecule: long non-coding RNA, 1863 nt
Organism: Pangasianodon hypophthalmus (striped catfish)
Lineage: Eukaryota; Metazoa; Chordata; Actinopteri; Siluriformes; Pangasiidae
Exons: 4
Source: RefSeq, a predicted model, not a curated record
UGUUCCGGUGAGGGCCAAUCAGGCGGCGGCGAGAGGCGCGUGCCCUCGCUUUGCGUUGGAAAACGGGGAGAUUUGGGGGAUAUUUUUAUGCAGUGUUGUUUCAAAGGGAUCAUCACUCACUCACACACACACACACACAGACACACACACGCGCGCGCGAACACACAUACACACACGCGCGCGCGCGCGCGCAGGGAGCGCAGACAGGGCCAGACACAGGAGCGGUGUAUUAAAGCGUCUACAUCCGGGACAUUUCGGUAAUAAUGCCCCACUGAGCCGGAGGAGUGUGAGAGCAAAGCUUUUCCUCCAACAUCUUUCUAAACAAUGCACUCGGAGGGCGUGUGUGUGUUAGAUACAGGAGCGAUGCUCAGGUGAACACGGCCGUCGUUAGAAAGUGGUCAGGAUCUUCCCGGUGAGUGUGCCCUUAUCGAUCAACGACGUCGAAAGUCGCCUACUUUAAGAGGAAGUAUGCGGAAGAGGAGGAUGUCCAGGGAAGCCUACAUGGAUAUUUACAAAAACACCUGAUCUUACGCGAGGAGCGCAGCUGCAUUUUGCGCCUGUCGCUGCAGAAGCUGCGUUUCCUGGACGACCCUGAGGCCUUCCUGCGCCGCGCCGUUCUCAUCAACAACCUGCUGCGCAAGAUCCACUCGGACGACGGGCAGAGGGACCGAGACAGACCGAGGAAUGGAGAGAAAGAAGAAGAAGAAGAGGAGAGGCUGUUUUACUUGGAUAGGAAGAGACUGAAGGUCAUGGUGACGCCUGAACACGGACAUUCCAUCCUCCUCUAUCCACUUAAUAACAACUGCUAAAAUCCCACUGUACUUAAGCGCUGGCAUUUACACCCAGCAGUGAUGAUGGCAUAGGAUGGAGGCGGAGGUGUGUGUCUGCGCAGUGUGUGUGUGUGUGUGUGUGUGUAAGACUGUGUGUCAGCGUCAAACACUUGGAAGCUGGGAUUAUUGCAGUGUGAGAUGGACUACAAGAAGCAUCUGUGAACAUCAGGGUUUGCUUUUUUACACAUGAAAAGAAAGACUCGAGUCCAACUGCCUCUAUAAAUAAACUUUUAUUUUGCUUUUUUUUUUUUUUUUUUUUUUUUUUUUUUUUGCUAAGCAUUUUUCAGGGAUUAAAAAAAAAAAGCCAUGCACUUUGUAUCUCUGUAAGUAAAUGUAAAUGUAAAGUUUGUUGCCUGAAUGUUGUUCUGCUAUAAGAGCCACGGUUUCCAAGCAAAGCAUCUAAUAUAAUAUAAUAUAAUAUAAUAUAAUAUAAUAUAAUAUAAUAUAAUAUAUGGUAUGAUAUAUAAAAUACAGUGUGAAGAGUGUAUGAUAUGUGCUUGAGUGAGGAUAAAUGAUCUAGUUUGAUAACAGAACAGGAAAUGGCUCAUAGUGCUCUACUGCCCACUAGUGUUCACCAGUGUGAUUGUUCAUGCAACAUUUUUAUGCUGUUUUUCACAAUCUGUACAAAGUUCUCUCCAGAUUUCAGAUUUCAGACACUAACCAUGUUGAACACUUCAUUUAAGGCAGGAGAAGGAAAUUAUUUUGGUCUGAUAUUCCUUUCAUGCCAGAAUCUAUAGAUUAUUUUAAGGUAAAUUUGGAGAAGUUUGGAAAGCAUUUGUCCAUGGAAAGUUCUAGCUGUUCUUAUGCUGUCUGUUUUUCUACUUACAGUUUAAUUGCACUCUUGCUACAGACAUUUAUUAAUCAGCCUUAACAUAUUUACAUAUCAAAAUCAUCCUUAAACAGUGAGAUUUAAUCAUUCACUUCUGGUUCUGUUUACAACACAACUGCAGACUAAUUGCAAAAAUCUGGUCUGAUGCUCAUAUAUACAUAUAUAUAUAUAUAAAAUGUAAGAUAAAAAAAAAAAAAAGCAGAG